CAUAACCUUUAGCUAAACCAGUAUUAAAGGCAACGCCUGCCCAGUGAAUAAUUAAACGGCCGCGGUACCCUAACCGUGCAAAGGUAGCGUAAUCAUUUGUCUAUUAAUUGUAGACCCGUAUGAAAGGCAUAAUGAGGGUUUAACUGUCUCUUUUAGUAUAUCAAUUAAACUGAUCUCCUAGUCCAAAAGCUAGGAUACCAACAUAAGACCAGAAGACCCUGUGAAACUUUAACUAAAAUAUUAAAGCCUAUAAUAACUACUUUAGGUUGGGGCGACCUUGGAAAAUAAAAGAACUUCCACACACAUAUUAUAUAAUAAUAUAUAACCGGCCAACAAGCCUAUAACGACCCAGCACAGCUGAUAAUUGAACCAAGCUACUCCAGGGAUAACAGCGCUAUCUUCUUCAAGAGCCCAUAUCAAAAAGAAGGUUUACGACCUCGAUGUUGGAUCAGGACAUCCUAAUGGUGCAGCCGCUAUUAAGGGUUCGUUUGUUCAACGAUUAAUAGUCCUACGUGAU
RNAcentral lists this ribosomal RNA (517 nucleotides) under Hydrophis cyanocinctus (Asian annulated sea snake). RNAcentral describes it as "partial 16S ribosomal RNA". It matches the Rfam family "Bacterial large subunit ribosomal RNA", at positions 1814 to 2604 of the family's 2925-position model. Lineage: Eukaryota; Metazoa; Chordata; Lepidosauria; Squamata; Elapidae. The record is from RNAcentral.